This 424-nucleotide ribosomal RNA is filed under the name uncultured Rathayibacter sp. Its description in RNAcentral is "bacterial SSU rRNA". It matches the Rfam family "Bacterial small subunit ribosomal RNA", at positions 358 to 790 of the family's 1533-position model. Lineage: Bacteria; Bacillati; Actinomycetota; Actinomycetes; Micrococcales; Microbacteriaceae. The record is from RNAcentral.
GGAAUAUUGCACAAUGGGCGAAAGCCUGAUGCAGCAACGCCGCGUGGGGGAUGACGGCCUUCGGGUUGUAAACCUCUUUUAGUAGGGAAGAAGGACUUCGGUUUGACGGUACCUGCAGAAAAAGCACCGGCUAACUACGUGCCAGCAGCCGCGGUAAUACGUAGGGUGCAAGCGUUGUCCGGAAUUAUUGGGCGUAAAGAGCUCGUAGGCGGUUUGUCGCGUCUGCUGUGAAAACCCGAGGCUCAACCUCGGGCCUGCAGUGGGUACGGGCAGGCUAGAGUGCGGUAGGGGAGAAUGGAAUUCCUGGUGUAGCGGUGGAAUGCGCAGAUAUCAGGAGGAACACCGAUGGCGAAGGCAGUUCUCUGGGCCGUUACUGACGCUGAGGAGCGAAAGCGUGGGGAGCGAACAGGAUUAGAUACCCUUG